CCUACGGGAGGCAGCAGUGAGGAAUAUUGGUCAAUGGACGCAAGUCUGAACCAGCCAUGCCGCGUGCAGGAAGACGGCUCUAUGAGUUGUAAACUGCUUUUGUACGAGGGUAAACGCAGAUACGCGUAUCUGUCUGAAAGGAUCGUACGAAUAAGGAUCGGCUAGCUCCGUGCCAGCAGCCGCGGUACAACGGAGUCUUCAAGCGUUAUCCGGAUUGAUUGGGUUUAAAGGGUGCGUAGGCGGUCGGAUAAGUUAGAGGUGAAAUCCCGGGGCUCAACUUCGGAAUUGCAUCUGAUACUGUUCGGCUAGAGAGUAGUUGCGGUAGGCGGAAUGUAUGGUGUAGCGGUGAAAUGCUUAGAGAUCAUACAGAACACCGAUGGCGAAGGCAGCUUACCAAGCUACUACUGACGUUGAGGCACGAAAGCGUGGGGAGCAAACAGGAUUAGAUACCCGGGUAGUC
This 460-nucleotide ribosomal RNA is filed under the name uncultured bacterium. RNAcentral describes it as "partial 16S ribosomal RNA". It matches the Rfam family "Bacterial small subunit ribosomal RNA", at positions 338 to 795 of the family's 1533-position model. The record is from RNAcentral.